AUGCUCGUCGGUCGAAAAACCAACUCCGGCGCCCGAGCAUUGACGCACCUGAACGCUUGGCCUCACUAUUCAAAGGCGGUCACACCCGGCUCACACCGCAUUACAACCCAUUCGCUCCUCUCGUGCACCACAUCCACCAUGACCACGAGCGGGAACACGUUGUGGAAAAACCUGUCGACGAAGCAGAAGCGUGAGGUGGCAGCCUGGCAGAGCCGUCGUGCUAGGCGGAUAGAGGCCGCCAUGCCGGCCAGCUCUCCGGAGGUCUCCGACGAUGACCCCCCAAUGGAGACUGGCUUCGAUGAUGACUCCGCGCCGCAACCGACAACGGUGCAUGCUGGCUUGACUAUGGAGCAGGCAUGGUCGUACUUCAACAUACCCCCAUGGCGGAGGAGCAACCGGUGCUUAAGUGCAUUCCAGCAGACGCAGGAGGAGUAG
This 435-nucleotide ribosomal RNA is filed under the name Triticum aestivum (bread wheat). Its description in RNAcentral is "partial small subunit ribosomal RNA". The record is from RNAcentral. Lineage: Eukaryota; Viridiplantae; Streptophyta; Magnoliopsida; Poales; Poaceae.